RNAcentral lists this ribosomal RNA (253 nucleotides) under uncultured bacterium. Its description in RNAcentral is "partial 16S ribosomal RNA". It matches the Rfam family "Bacterial small subunit ribosomal RNA", at positions 524 to 776 of the family's 1533-position model. The record is from RNAcentral.
UACAGAGGUCUCAAGCGUUGUUCGGAUUCAUUGGGCGUAAAGGGUGCGUAGGCGGCGCGGUAAGUCGGGUGUGAAAUCUCGGAGCUUAACUCCGAAACUGCAUUCGAUACUGCCGUGCUUGAGGACUGGAGAGGAGACUGGAAUUUACGGUGUAGCGGUGAAACGCGUAGAUAUCGUAAGGAAGACCAGUGGCGAAGGCGGGUCUCUGGACAGUUCCUGACACUGAGACACGAAGGCCAGGGGAGCAAACGGG